RNAcentral lists this ribosomal RNA (378 nucleotides) under uncultured Glomeromycotina. RNAcentral describes it as "SSU rRNA". It matches the Rfam family "Eukaryotic small subunit ribosomal RNA", at positions 569 to 952 of the family's 1831-position model. Lineage: Eukaryota; Fungi; Glomeromycota. The record is from RNAcentral.
AGCAGCCGCGGUAAUUCCAGCUCCAAUAGCGUAUACUAAAGUUGUUGCAGUUAAAAAGCUCGUAGUUGAAUUUCGGGGUUAGUAGGUCGGUCGUGCCACAGGUAUGUACUGGUCUCACUGAUUCCUCCUUCCUGAUGAGCCGUAAUGCCAUUAAUUUGGUGUUGCGGGGAAACUGGACUGUUACUUUGAAAAAUUAGAGUGUUUAAAGCAGGCUAACGCUUGAAUACAUUAGCAUGGAAUAAUGGAAUAGGACGUUCGAUCCUAUUUUGUUGGUUUCUAGGAUUGACGUAAUGAUUAAUAGGGAUAGUUGGGGGGCAUUAGUGUUCAAUUGUCAGAGGUGAAAUUCUUGGAUUUAUUGAAGACUAACUACUGCGAAGC